AAACUCGCGGGAAAGAGGUUCCUGUUAAGUUUGACUCUAGUUUGGCUUUGUGAAAAGCAAAGAGAGGUGUAGCAUAGGUGCGAGGGUUCAGUCAACAAUAAAAUACCACCAUUUUCAGUGACCCUUUAGUUUUUCGGUGAAAAGAAAAUUAAGUCUUUCGGCUCGAAACUAUUCUGCUAUUUGCCGCUUUUUGUUAGCGGUUUAUAGACGAGAAUUAGUUCAGAAUUAAGAAAGAUGCUAGAAGAUUCGCAUGGUACAUCGGUAGCACAGUGGUUAGUGCAGUCUGCCGGAAACAGAAAGACGCGGGUACAAUUCCCGUCCGAUGUCAGUGUUUUGCGAAUAACCUAUCAUCUCCAAAUAUAUAAGUCUUUCGGCCCGUUUUCCCAACAAAAGUAGCUGGUCGUGACUGUGACUCUCGCCAAAGACUGUGUCAAGAGAGGAGUGUGGCGGUACAUCUGUCAAGCUGUAGAGGAGGAGUUCUAAGGAUGGCUCAGAGACGACGCAAAACUCUCGUAAAGCAAAAGGUAAAAAGCCUACUUGAUCUUGACUUUCAGUACGAGUACAGACUGCAAAAGCGUGGCCUAUCCAUCCUUUCAAUCCAGAUGGUUCCUGAUAAAAGGUGUCAGAAAAGUUACCACGUGGAUAGUUGGCUUGCGGCAGCCAAGUGUCCAUAAAUUGCUUUUUGCUCCUUCAACGUCGGCUCUUCCUACCACAAAGAGGGGACGUGAGGUGGGUUUAGACUGCCGUGAGACUUCAGUUUACUCCUACUAUUGACCAACUCUUGAUAGUCGGUCUGCUUAGUACGAGAGAAGCAACAAGUUCAGAGCUUUAGAUCAUGGACAUCGGUCAAUGGUCCGAAGGUACCGUCUAGGGAACCAAGAGUGGACAUUUCUUCAGACGGGUUCAUGUGUCAGAAUUCCGAUUUUCCCUAGAGGUGCAUUUAAAUCCUGGGUACACGUUUUCUAGAUGUCGAAGGGCUUAUAAGGGUAUAACGUGAUUAGACCAGCUCGAGAAACUCUAAGCUGUGAACUCUUAAUAAAAGGAAAAAUGAGUCUCCAAGAGAGAGGGCGAGAUUUACAGCUUUAGCUGAGUGAUGAAAAUGCCGAAAAUGUCUCGAGACGAUUACGUUCGACGCGCUUCAAUAACACACUUCAGCGUUCUCU
This 1163-nucleotide non-coding RNA is filed under the name Nippostrongylus brasiliensis. RNAcentral's name for it is "Eukaryotic large subunit ribosomal RNA". It matches the Rfam family "Eukaryotic large subunit ribosomal RNA", at positions 2389 to 3401 of the family's 3401-position model. Lineage: Eukaryota; Metazoa; Nematoda; Chromadorea; Rhabditida; Heligmosomidae. The record is from Rfam by way of RNAcentral.